GAGGAAGAUAGCAUGACCAAUGUACCGAAGAGCAAUGUCCCGCAAAAAGAUCCAAUUGAACUGUUACCAAAUGCGGAUGAAAGAACAAUAAACCUAAGUGAUAAGGAGCGUGAUAUUGGAGAAAUAUCAUUUGGAAAGAGGAAAUUCACUUCAACUUGUGUGGGAGCACUACAAAAGACAGAAAAUUGGUGAGAAAUGGAAGGCUAUAUGCAAUCAUUGCAAGAAAUAGUUAGGGGGUAAAACAAAAAUUGGUAAAAAGCCUUUGCAUGAUCAUUUGAAGAGAUGUGUAUUCCGUUAUAAGGAUAAUACUCACCAAGCAAUAUUAAAUUUCAAAAAGGAUGCCACGAGUGGCAAGCUCACAACUCUUUCGAUCCAGAUAAAUGUAGAUAUAGCCUUUCAAAAAUGGUGAUUUUGCAUGAGUAUCCUUUGUCUAUAGUUGAUCACAUUGAAUUUCGAGAGUUUUUGCAUGACCUAAAACCAUUGUUUAAGGUUCCUUCUCGCAACACUUUGAAAAUCUAUGAAUACGAAAGAGCCAAAAAUAUGAUUGCACUUGAGAAGAUUGAGAGUCGAAUUUCGAUCACUACCGACAUGUGGACCUCUUCUAAUCAAAAGAGUGGAUAUAUGGUUAUCACUGCUCAUUUCAUAAAUGAAGCGUGGAAAUUAUAGAGUCGAAUCGUGAGGUAUAGUAAAACAUUACAUUCACUUGUUCUCAUAAUUUACCAAAAUGAUAUUCUUUUAGUUGAUUUAAUUUGUUCUUGAAUGAACUCAGGUUUAUAUAUGUACCGUGCCCACACACUGCUGAUAUGCUUUUAGAAACUCUAUUGAGCAGCUUGAUGGACUGG
RNAcentral lists this long non-coding RNA (842 nucleotides) under Olea europaea subsp. europaea. The record is from RNAcentral. Lineage: Eukaryota; Viridiplantae; Streptophyta; Magnoliopsida; Lamiales; Oleaceae.